GCGUCGUGUGGGCGGGCGGCGGGGGUAAUCGCGAGGGUGCAAGGGUUGAGUGGAAUUAGUGGGUGGAAAGAGGGAGUGGGGGGUUCGUGAAGUCGGAUGGGAAAGCCCUGGGGUAAACCUGGUAAGGGCAUUGGAAACUGGCGACCGAGAGUGCGGUAGAGGGUAGUGGAAUUCCCGGUGUAGCAGUGAAAUGCGUAGAGAGCGGGAGGAACAUCCGUGGCGAAGGCGACUACCUGGACCAGCACUGACACUGAGGCACGAAAGCGUGGGGAGCAAACAGGAUUAGAUACCCGUGUAGUC
This 300-nucleotide ribosomal RNA is filed under the name uncultured Desulfurococcus sp. Its description in RNAcentral is "bacterial SSU rRNA". The stretch from base 52 to 300 matches the Rfam family "Bacterial small subunit ribosomal RNA", at positions 547 to 795 of the family's 1533-position model. The record is from RNAcentral. Lineage: Archaea; Thermoproteati; Thermoproteota; Thermoprotei; Desulfurococcales; Desulfurococcaceae.